This 433-nucleotide ribosomal RNA is filed under the name uncultured bacterium. Its description in RNAcentral is "partial 16S ribosomal RNA". It matches the Rfam family "Bacterial small subunit ribosomal RNA", at positions 29 to 507 of the family's 1533-position model. The record is from RNAcentral.
AACGAACGCUGGCGGCAGGCCUAACACAUGCAAGUCGAGCGAGACCUUCGGGUCUAGUGGCGCACGGGUGCGUAACGCGUGGGAACGUGCCCUUUUCUACGGAAUAGCCUCGGGAAACUGAUCGUAAUACCGUAUACGCUCUUCGGGGCAAAGAUUUAUCGGAUUAGGAUCGGCCCGCGUUGGAUUAGGUAGUUGGUAGGGUAAUGGCCUACCAAGCCUACGAUCCAUAGCUGGUUUGAGAGGAUGAUCAGCCACACUGGGACUGAGACACGGCCCAGACUCCUACGGGAGGCAGCAGUGGGGAAUAUUAGACAAUGGGGGAAAGCCUGAUCUAGCAAUGCCGCGUGAGUGAUGAAGGCCUUAGGGUUGUAAAGCUCUUUUAGCUGGGAAGAUAAUGACAGUACCAGCAGAAGAAGCCCCGGCUAACUCCGUG